Molecule: long non-coding RNA, 381 nt
Organism: Diceros bicornis minor
Lineage: Eukaryota; Metazoa; Chordata; Mammalia; Perissodactyla; Rhinocerotidae
Exons: 3
Source: RefSeq, a predicted model, not a curated record
UCUCAGGCCAGCUCUCAGUGAUGGCCAUCGCUCUCCCUCUCGUCUUGCAGCUUUGGGGCACAACCUGAAGACCCUCACAGUCAGUGUCAGCAUCUCCACCUUCUGGUAUUCAUCAGACAGGAGCAACAGCUCAGCCACGUUCAACUCCACUGAGAGGGUCCUGCAGAGCCUGCUGGAUCCUUGUUGAAGAAGAGCAGCCUGGGCCCCUUCUCCUUGAGUGGCAGACUGGUCUCCCUCAGGUCUGAGAAGGAUGGGGCAGCCACCAGUGUGGACGCUGUCUUCACCCACCACCCUGACCCCGUGGUCCACCAUGCCUCUGUGCUGGGAGCUGAGAGUCUCCACCUGUCUGCUCUUCCUCUCAGUGGCUCCAGGCUCUGCACC